UAUUUUAUCAUUAUAUAAAAAUCUAUUUUUUUCUCCUUCUUCUCUACAUAAAGUGAAAAUUAUGAUUUAAUUUAAUUUUUUCGGUCGUAGACAUCUUCAGAAACUCAUAGGAAACUGUAGUAAUCCGUAGUCACCCAUAGACAUCUUGAAACCCUAAGACAUCUUGAGACCCUAACUACUCCCACAAACCCUAGCCGCCAGACCCAUAGACACCCAUAGAUAUCCAAAUCGAUUUUUUUUAAAUUUUCCCCAUCAAACUCUAGAUCCGCUCCUCCACCACCACCAUCACCGAGCGCCGCCAUCACGCCGUCAUCCAUGCCCAACACCGUUGUCGCGCCUUCCACCAUAGAUCUGACCUUAAACCACCAUAGCCGUCGUCUCCUUGCCUCUACAAGCAUCCGUUUAUUGCUGCCGUCUCCACCGCCAUAACCACCGCCAUAACCACCGCCCCUCUCAAUAGUGGAUUGGAGUGGUGGAGAACGAAAGAGACAGAGAGAGAUAGCGAUAUCGAAAAAUAGAGAGAUAAAGAUUGAGAGGGAGAG
RNAcentral lists this long non-coding RNA (542 nucleotides) under Erythranthe guttata (spotted monkey flower). RNAcentral's name for it is "long non-coding RNA (EGUT_LNC003078)". Lineage: Eukaryota; Viridiplantae; Streptophyta; Magnoliopsida; Lamiales; Phrymaceae. The record is from RNAcentral.